CACGACUCUCUCUCGCUCAUGCCAUUGCUCUUUGAAAGAUUGGUGUGCUCCUUGGCUCCGGUUAUCUCCCUCAUCUUCUUCCCUAAAAAAUUUUACUGAAAUCCACCACUCUCUCUGGUUGCUUUUCAAGAAGACCAUAAAGUUGGGGGAUUCUAAAAUCUCUUGCCCUUCUGGCAGCUGCGAUUGCCCUCCUCUUUUGUCCCUCCUCAAGAUUGCUCCUGGUAAUCCUCUCUCUCUCU
This is a long non-coding RNA of Pyrus x bretschneideri (Chinese white pear), 239 nucleotides long. RefSeq lists it as uncharacterized. The transcript is spliced from 2 exons. The record is from RefSeq and is a predicted model, not a curated record. NCBI's taxonomy places the organism in Eukaryota, Viridiplantae, Streptophyta, Magnoliopsida, Rosales, Rosaceae.